UUAAAUAUGCAGUUUGAAGCCCCGCAUUUAGGACCAAAAGUAAGAGCUCAAACCAUAGAUAAAAUCUAGGUAAUCAUUCACAAACCUGUAAACUCAACAAACAAGACAACUCCUUUAAAGUCAAUGGUUUCUAUUUAUUUAUUUAUUUUAA
This is a long non-coding RNA of Nanorana parkeri, 151 nucleotides long. RefSeq lists it as uncharacterized. NCBI's taxonomy places the organism in Eukaryota, Metazoa, Chordata, Amphibia, Anura, Dicroglossidae. The record is from RefSeq and is a predicted model, not a curated record. The transcript is spliced from 4 exons.